GGCUUUUUGAGUAUAAUUUAAGGUCGGGCCUGCCCAAUGAUUAAUUAAAUGGCCGCGGUAUAUUGACCGUGCAAAGGUAGCAUAAUCAUUAGUUUUUUAAUUGAAAGCUUGUAUGAAGGGUUUAAUGAAAAAAAUACUGUCUCUAUUUAAAUUUAUUAGAAUUUUAUGUUUAAGUUAAAAAGCUUAAAUUUAUAUUGAAGACGAGAAGACCCUAUAGAGUUUAAUAUUUUAUGUAAUUAUUGGUUAUUAAGAAUUUUAAAGGUUUAUUAUUUAAAGUAUUUAGUUGGGGUGAUUAAAAAAUUAGUUUAACUUUUUUUGUAUUUUUACAUUGAUUAAUGAAUUAAUGAUCAUUUAUUUAAGAUUAAAAGAUAUAAUUACCUUAGGGAUAACAGCGUAAUUUUUUUUAGAGUUCUUAUCGAAAGAAAAGAUUGCGACCUCGAUGUUGGAUUAAAAUAAAUUAUUGGUGUAGAAGCUAAUAGAUUAGGUCUGUUCGACCUUUAAAUUUUUACAUGAUCUGAGUUUAAACCGGUGUAAG
This 535-nucleotide ribosomal RNA is filed under the name Acalles iblanensis. RNAcentral describes it as "partial 16S ribosomal RNA". It matches the Rfam family "Bacterial large subunit ribosomal RNA", at positions 1860 to 2625 of the family's 2925-position model. Lineage: Eukaryota; Metazoa; Arthropoda; Insecta; Coleoptera; Curculionidae. The record is from RNAcentral.